ACAGCUACAGCAUCAACCUCUCCCCGCUGUACACAAGUAAAUUACAGAAUAAAUGAGACACAGUUCAAGGAGUUCCUAUCAGUAACACAACCCAUUGGAGGGGUCAUUAUCCAAUGCAAUAGUAAAGGUCUUGAAUCAUCAUUAUCAAUGUGCAGAAAUGGGUUUUGGGAGAGGCCCUAACCAUUUCAGUGCAGAUACAUCAUGCUUUUAGGAAGAGAAGUUUUUGUUUUAUUCAUAUCUGUCAUGCAGCUUAACUUGUAGAAAAUUUUUGAGCCUACUUCUCUUAUGAAAAAUAAGCUCCUAGUCCAUACAUAAAAAACCUGUUAAUGCGGUUGAUUUGUGCUUCCGAACAUUUUAUAUUUUUCAAAUAAGCUUCUAACCCAUGUUUAUCUUUGAAGUUGACAUAAUGUGUUUCACUUUGCAUUACUUUUUUUUUAUCCUAUGGAAUCAUGAGAAAUGUAAAAUUUCAAAUUGACAAUUGCUACCUUUGUAUCAUGGUUAAGUAUUUAGUUGAGCAUCUAUGUCCAAUAUACCAAACAUGAUGUUACUUAUUAGUCUGCACAGAGGAAUAGGGAGAGAGGGAUAGAAAUAGAUGAGAAAAGAA
Molecule: unclassified non-coding RNA, 604 nt
Filed under: Hevea brasiliensis (rubber tree)
Lineage: Eukaryota; Viridiplantae; Streptophyta; Magnoliopsida; Malpighiales; Euphorbiaceae
Source: RNAcentral